RNAcentral lists this long non-coding RNA (1993 nucleotides) under Triticum aestivum (bread wheat). Its description in RNAcentral is "long non-coding RNA (TAES_LNC017433)". Lineage: Eukaryota; Viridiplantae; Streptophyta; Magnoliopsida; Poales; Poaceae. The record is from RNAcentral.
UUGCAAUAAAAAAAGCAUAUACUCUGUUGUAAAGGUGACAUUUGUUCAAAAAAUAGGGUGGAACCCCCGGCAUCAUUUAAUUAAAAUGGAACCAGAUCGCAGCCAGUUACAUAUCUGCUCACCGACAUCUGCCUAUGGCAGUUCAGAAAAGCAAAAACAAAGUAGAAAACUGAAGCUCCAAACAUUCCAGUACCGUACAAAAUCUAAACAGAAAAUACAUGUUUCAAGCUUUAGGGAAGGUGUCCAUAGCUCCAGAUCACUCCACAAGGGCAUCAUCCACAAAUAACGUGAAUCAAGGGAUGCUUUUGUAUGCCAAUAGGUUGAGCACCGUGCAGCUCCCAUGAUCAUAUGUACAAGACAUCUUGGCUUCCUGAAAGAGACAAAGUGGAUGCAGCUGAACUUGCUUUUUUUUUUUGCAGAUAUGAACUUGCAUGUUCAGCUUCCUGAAAGAAUACUAGCUCGUCACAACAAGCAUUUUUUUCCAGAUAUGAACUUGCAGCAGAACAUGCAGAUCAUACCUGAAAAAAAGGAACCUCGUCUAUUUUAAUAUGCACAUCCAAGACGAAAAGGUCAACAAAAUGAUCUGGUUGGACAAGAAUAAAACUUAUGUUGAAUAGAAUUUCAACGAUGCUAGUUAAGAUUUUGGGUACCAGAACAUGACUAUAACUCCUAAAAUCAGUAGUUAGUGUUGAUUGCAAAAGAAUUUGUCCUUACUUGUUGCCAUUGGUUCAAGCUUUUCUUGAACUUAUUGAUUGUUCUUCAUCUUGCAAUCCUGAUAUGCUAUAGAAAAUUUAAAAGGAAUAGGAGUACAGCUAACCUGAAAUUGUUAUGGCUCGGGUGAACAAUCAUCUAAUGAAAUGAAAUUUGUAAUUCUGAUUAACAUGCAGACAAUACCAGAAAAAAUAGGAACAUCAUCUGAUUUCAUAUGCAUAUCAAGACGAAGGGUCAACAAAAUGAUCUGGUUGAAGUUUUAAUUUUUUUUCUUUGCUCUUUAAAUUGAUGGUAACCCCAGCUUCAUCUUCAGAUGGCUCGUCAUCUUGUAGUAGCUCUUCAUCUAAUUUAGAAAUUGCAAAAGUAAACUAAAUGUAUCAAGACAGUGUAUAAAAGAAAUGCAGCAUAACUACAUAAGGCCCAGCUAUAUUGCUUAUAUAGCAACUAAAAGUUUAGUACAGCUACAACCUACAACUCUUAAUAUAUGACAAGCCCAGUUUGGAAUACACUACUACUGCAGGUUCUUAAUAUAUGACGAGCUACAAACUACACUACUACUGUCAGUUGUUAAUAUACAACAAUCCCAGUACUUGAUAUAUGACAAGCUAAGCUACAGCUACAAGUGCCAAUUCUUAGUACACCACCACUGCUAGGUGCUAGCUAGACUAGUCAUUUUUGAAAAAUCCAACUGAAAGAAUUGACUUGUUCUUUUCUGUUCUGUUCUUUUCUUAAUAAGGAGAUACUGAACCAAGAGAAGAGAACAAAAUCUGAACUGAGGUGCAUCUCUAUUCUCUCAAGGCUAACACAAAAUCUUAAAUUAAUUUGAAUUUACUCCAAGUCUUCAACCAAUGUUGCUACAGGCUACAUCAGUCAGCGGUACAACUAGGAUAUGUACAGUGCAGAGCACUUACAGUUCGGAUUGGAGCUGGACGCUGUGGAACAUGGUGAGCUGCAGCCUGCGGCCCGCCGGAUUUGAUGAGCUGGACUACCGGAGCUCGGUGGCAUCGAGCAGGGAGGGUAUGGGGGUGUAGAGUAGCCGAGCAUGGAAGUGCGUUGACCAGGGGAGAUCGAGGAGACACCAAGCGUCGCCGUCCUGCUACCUCGAUGGGGAGGCCGCGGCUGGGAGGGGAAAGGCUGGAGGGUUACUGGGGGAAGGGCGUCGUCUUGCUCUCCCUCUUCGUCCGGCGUCAUCAGCCAGCCGCCGUCGGUCAAGAGGAUGGGGAGAGGAACAGGAUAAGGAAGGAGAGGACAGGUUAUGUUGAGGACUAUUCAGGCAUUUCGA